RNAcentral lists this ribosomal RNA (504 nucleotides) under uncultured bacterium. RNAcentral describes it as "bacterial SSU rRNA". It matches the Rfam family "Bacterial small subunit ribosomal RNA", at positions 28 to 545 of the family's 1533-position model. The record is from RNAcentral.
GACGAACGCUGGCGGCGUGCUUAACACAUGCAAGUCGAACGAUGAUCUGGAGCUUGCUCCAGGGAUUAGUGGCGAACGGGUGAGUAACACGUGAGUAACCUGCCCUCCACUCUGGGAUAAGCACUGGAAACGGUGUCUAAUACCGGAUACGAGCUUCAGCCGCAUGGCUAGGAGUUGGAAAGAAUUUUGGUGGAGGAUGGACUCGCGGCCUAUCAGGUAGUUGGUGAGGUAAUGGCUCACCAAGCCGACGACGGGUAGCCGGCCUGAGAGGGUGACCGGCCACACUGGGACUGAGACACGGCCCAGACUCCUACGGGAGGCAGCAGUGGGGAAUAUUGCACAAUGGGCGAAAGCCUGAUGCAGCAACGCCGCGUGAGGGAUGACGGCCUUCGGGUUGUAAACCUCUUUUAGUAGGGAAGAAGCGAAAGUGACGGUACCUGCAGAAAAAGCACCGGCUAACUACGUGCCAGCAGCCGCGGUAAUACGUAGGGUGCAAGCGUUGUC